RNAcentral lists this unclassified non-coding RNA (501 nucleotides) under Owenia fusiformis. RNAcentral's name for it is "misc RNA OFUS_LOCUS1054". The record is from RNAcentral. Lineage: Eukaryota; Metazoa; Annelida; Polychaeta; Sabellida; Oweniidae.
AGACAAGGCAAUAUCAGAAAGUAGUGUCCACAUUUUGAAGGUUGAGCAAAGAUGUCGUACAAAAGUUCAGGUGUAGAGGUCUACAACAAACAUGGGAUCAGCAUCAAAAUGAUGACCAAAAAAGUCGCUGAAAUAACGAGUAUGAAAAUUCCUGAUGUGAAAUCUCUGAUGACAGAAAUCACUCACCAACACCUACAUCCCCAGAGUUUACAUAGGCAGAAUCAUAAUAGACUAUCUGGGAAGAAACUGGCAUCACAUAGUGACACUAAAUCGGAACCUGAAUACAAGAGCACACAAGAAGCUAAACAUAAAUCACCAUAUUCUGAACACACAGCAUCACCUAAACCAUUUAGACCUGUGAAAGGAUCAGUCAAGAUUGGGUAAGAAAUUAUGUUUUACUGAACACACCUCAUUUAAUGAAUACUUGUUUUUUUGUCUGCAAAUAUUUACUUUUCAAGUACUUUUCAGUGAAUUUUAAGCACUCAAGGAGUACAUUCUUUC